AUACGGAGGGUGCAAGCGUUGUUCGGAAUUAUUGGGCGUAAAGCGCGUGUAGGCAGUCUGUUAAGUCUGGUGUGAAAGCCCUGGGCUCAACCCAGGAAGUGCAUUGGAUACUGGCAGACUUGAGUAUGGGAGAGGAAAGCGGAAUUCCGAGUGUAGGAGUGAAAUCCGUAGAUAUUCGGAGGAACACCAGUGGCGAAGGCGGCUUUCUGGACCAAUACUGACGCUGAGACGCGAAAGCGUGGGGAGCAAACAGGAUUAGAUACCCUUGUAGUCC
RNAcentral lists this ribosomal RNA (274 nucleotides) under uncultured bacterium. Its description in RNAcentral is "partial 16S ribosomal RNA". It matches the Rfam family "Bacterial small subunit ribosomal RNA", at positions 523 to 796 of the family's 1533-position model. The record is from RNAcentral.